CGGCGCUUCCUACACCCAGAGGUGCAGAUUUCCCACGUGAAUCGUUUGUAGUUCCUCUCUGCAUUUCCUCUUCAGUUUCUCUGACCUGCUGAAGGCUUGCCAUUCGUCAUCACUCUAGUUGCAGGGAGGAGAUUUGCCAACUAAUUUGGAUCAAGAUCAGUACUGAAAGAAGAAGAAGAAGAAGAAGAAGAAGAAGAAGAAG
This is a non-coding RNA of Cricetulus griseus (Chinese hamster), 202 nucleotides long. Lineage: Eukaryota; Metazoa; Chordata; Mammalia; Rodentia; Cricetidae. The record is from RefSeq and is a predicted model, not a curated record.